This 637-nucleotide ribosomal RNA is filed under the name Escherichia coli. RNAcentral describes it as "partial 23S ribosomal RNA". It matches the Rfam family "Bacterial large subunit ribosomal RNA", at positions 375 to 1016 of the family's 2925-position model. The record is from RNAcentral. Lineage: Bacteria; Pseudomonadati; Pseudomonadota; Gammaproteobacteria; Enterobacterales; Enterobacteriaceae.
GUACACAAAAAUGCACAUACUGUGAGCUCGAUGAGUAGGGCGGGACACGUGGUAUCCUGUCUGAAUAUGGGGGGACCAUCCUCCAAGGCUAAAUACUCCUGACUGACCGAUAGUGAACCAGUACCGUGAGGGAAAGGCGAAAAGAACCCCGGCGAGGGGAGUGAAAAAGAACCUGAAACCGUGUACGUACAAGCAGUGGGAGCCUCUUAAUGGGGUGACUGCGUACCUUUUGUAUAAUGGGUCAGCGACUUAUAUUCUGUAGCAAGGUUAACCGAAUAGGGGAGCCGAAGGGAAACCGAGUCUUAACUGGGCGUUAAGUUGCAGGGUAUAGACCCGAAACCCGGUGAUCUAGCCAUGGGCAGGUUGAAGGUUGGGUAACACUAACUGGAGGACCGAACCGACUAAUGUUGAAAAAUUAGCGGAUGACUUGUGGCUGGGGGUGAAAGGCCAAUCAAACCGGGAGAUAGCUGGUUCUCCCCGAAAGCUAUUUAGGUAGCGCCUCGUGAAUUCAUCUCCGGGGGUAGAGCACUGUUUCGGCAAGGGGGUCAUCCCGACUUACCAACCCGAUGCAAACUGCGAAUACCGGAGAAUGUUAUCACGGGAGACACACGGCGGGUGCUAACGUCCGUCGUGAAGA